AGUGAACGCUGGCGGUAGGCCUAACACAUGCAAGUCGAACGGCAACACAGUAAGAGCUUGCUCUUACGGGUGGCGAGUGGCGGACGGGUGAGGAAUACAUCGGAAUCUACUUUUUCGUGGGGGAUAACGUAGGGAAACUUACGCUAAUACCGCAUACGACCUACGGGUGAAAGCAGGGGAUCUUCGGACCUUGCGCGAUUGAAUGAGCCGAUGUCGGAUUAGCUAGUUGGCGGGGUAAAGGCCCACCAAGGCGACGAUCCGUAGCUGGUCUGAGAGGAUGAUCAGCCACACUGGAACUGAGACACGGUCCAGACUCCUACGGGAGGCAGCAGUGGGGAAUAUUGGACAAUGGGCGCAAGCCUGAUCCAGCCAUACCGCGUGGGUGAAGAAGGCCUUCGGGUUGUAAAGCCCUUUUGUUGGGAAAGAAAAGCAGCAGGUUAAUACCCCGCUGUUCUGACGGUACCCAAGGAAUAAGCACCGGCUAACUUCGUG
This 492-nucleotide ribosomal RNA is filed under the name uncultured bacterium. Its description in RNAcentral is "partial 16S ribosomal RNA". It matches the Rfam family "Bacterial small subunit ribosomal RNA", at positions 29 to 507 of the family's 1533-position model. The record is from RNAcentral.